GGAGAGAUGGCCGAGGGGUUUAAGGCGGUGGUCUCGAAAACCAUUGUACCUUUUUAUGAGGUACCGGGGGUUCAAAUCCCCCUCUCUCCG
Molecule: transfer RNA, 90 nt
Filed under: Clostridium sp. DL-VIII
Lineage: Bacteria; Bacillati; Bacillota; Clostridia; Eubacteriales; Clostridiaceae
Rfam family: tRNA
About the family: Transfer RNA (tRNA) molecules are approximately 80 nucleotides in length. Their secondary structure includes four short double-helical elements and three loops (D, anti-codon, and T loops). Further hydrogen bonds mediate the characteristic L-shaped molecular structure. tRNAs have two regions of fundamental functional importance: the anti-codon, which is responsible for specific mRNA codon recognition, and the 3' end, to which the tRNAs corresponding amino acid is attached (by aminoacyl-tRNA synthetases). tRNAs cope with the degeneracy of the genetic code in two manners: having more than one tRNA (with a specific anti-codon) for a particular amino acid; and 'wobble' base-pairing, i.e. permitting non-standard base-pairing at the 3rd anti-codon position.
Source: Rfam by way of RNAcentral